Molecule: ribosomal RNA, 427 nt
Filed under: uncultured Burkholderia sp.
Lineage: Bacteria; Pseudomonadati; Pseudomonadota; Betaproteobacteria; Burkholderiales; Burkholderiaceae
Description: bacterial SSU rRNA
Rfam family: Bacterial small subunit ribosomal RNA
Source: RNAcentral
UGGGGAAUUUUGGACAAUGGGCGCAAGCCUGAUCCAGCAAUGCCGCGUGUGUGAAGAAGGCCUUCGGGUUGUAAAGCACUUUUGUCCGGAAAGAAAACCUCGUGGUUAAUACCCGUGGGGGAUGACGGUACCGGAAGAAUAAGCACCGGCUAACUACGUGCCAGCAGCCGCGGUAAUACGUAGGGUGCAAGCGUUAAUCGGAAUUACUGGGCGUAAAGCGUGCGCAGGCGGUUCGCUAAGACAGAUGUGAAAUCCCCGGGCUUAACCUGGGAACUGCAUUUGUGACUGGCGGGCUAGAGUAUGGCAGAGGGGGGUAGAAUUCCACGUGUAGCAGUGAAAUGCGUAGAGAUGUGGAGGAAUACCGAUGGCGAAGGCAGCCCCCUGGGCCAAUACUGACGCUCACGCACGAAAGCGUGGGGAGCAAACA